GAACGCAUCUUGCGCUCCUUGGUAUUCCGAGGAGCAUGCCUGUUUGAGUGUCAUUAAAUUCUCAACUAUACAAGUUUUUAUUAACCUGUAUGGCUUGGAUCAUGGGAUUUGCAGGCUUCAUGAGUCAGCUAUCCUUAAAUGCAUUAGCAGAGCUUUUGCCGCUAAUCUCUGGUGUGAUAAUUAUCUACGCCAUUGAGAAGUGACAUAUUGAGGCUUCGCUUCUAAUCGUCUUCACAGACAAUAUUUGACAAUCUGACCUCAAAUCAGGUAGGAUUACCCGCUGAACUUAAG
RNAcentral lists this unclassified non-coding RNA (291 nucleotides) under uncultured Agaricales. RNAcentral's name for it is "sequence contains 5.8S rRNA gene". The stretch from base 1 to 53 matches the Rfam family "5.8S ribosomal RNA", at positions 102 to 154 of the family's 154-position model. Lineage: Eukaryota; Fungi; Basidiomycota; Agaricomycetes; Agaricales. The record is from RNAcentral.